Molecule: ribosomal RNA, 253 nt
Filed under: uncultured bacterium
Lineage: Bacteria
Description: partial 16S ribosomal RNA
Rfam family: Bacterial small subunit ribosomal RNA
Source: RNAcentral
UACGUAGGGUGCGAGCGUUAAUCGGAAUUACUGGGCGUAAAGUGUGCGCAGGCGGCCGAGCAAGUCGAGUGUGAAAGCCCCGGGCUUAACUUGGGAAUUGCGCUCGAAACUACUUGGCUGGAGUGUGGCAGAGGAAGGUGGAAUUCCAGGUGUAGCGGUGAAAUGCGUAGAGAUCUGGAGGAACACCGAUGGCGAAGGCAGCCCCCUGGGCUAACACUGACGCUCAUGCACGAAAGCGUGGGGAGCAAACAGG